UCACAGUUUGCACCGGCAGUCUCCUUAGAGUUCCCGCCAUUACGCGCUGGCAACUAAGGACAAGGGUUGCGCUCGUUACGGGACUUAACCCAACAUCUCACGACACAAGCUGACGACAGCCAUACAGCACCUGUCACUGAGCUCCCGAAGGCACCAAUCUAUCUCUAGAAAGUUCUCAGGAUGUCAAGAGUAGGUAAGGUUCUUCGCGUUGCUUCGAAUUAAACCACAUGCUCCACCGCUUGUGCGGGCCCCCGUCAAUUCAUUUGAGUUUUAACCUUGCGGCCGUACUCCCCAGGCGGUCUACUUAGUGCGUUAGCUGCGCCACCAAAACCUCAAGGGUCCCGACGGCUAGUAGACAUCGUUUACGGCGUGGACUAC
Molecule: unclassified non-coding RNA, 378 nt
Filed under: uncultured Cellvibrionales bacterium
Lineage: Bacteria; Pseudomonadati; Pseudomonadota; Gammaproteobacteria; Cellvibrionales
Description: contains 16S-23S intergenic spacer region
Source: RNAcentral